CGGGUGGCGGCGGCCGGCUCCUCCGGCGUCUAGUUCUUCUUCUCCGGCGAGGCACUGGCGGCUAGGGUUUUUGUGGUCAGGUGUGGGUGGAGUUAUUUAUACCCUUUACCUUUUAAUCUCAACCGUCCUUCAAGAUUAAAUCUGGACCGUUCAAUCGCGAUUUAAUUGGGAUUAAAUCUGGGCCGUCCGUGCUUGAUUGAAUCUGAGCCGUCCGUACGCGUGAAUCUGGGCUGUCCGUGCGCAAGUUUGAUCUGGGCCGUCCAUGU
This 266-nucleotide long non-coding RNA is filed under the name Carica papaya (papaya). Its description in RNAcentral is "long non-coding RNA (CPAP_LNC004417)". Lineage: Eukaryota; Viridiplantae; Streptophyta; Magnoliopsida; Brassicales; Caricaceae. The record is from RNAcentral.